Molecule: ribosomal RNA, 1306 nt
Filed under: Arthrobacter sp. NIHHS116
Lineage: Bacteria; Bacillati; Actinomycetota; Actinomycetes; Micrococcales; Micrococcaceae
Description: bacterial SSU rRNA
Rfam family: Bacterial small subunit ribosomal RNA
Source: RNAcentral
UAACACGUGAGUAACCUGCCCCUGACUCUGGGAUAAGCCCGGGAAACUGGGUCUAAUACCGGAUAUGACUACUGGCCGCAUGGUCUGGUGGUGGAAACGACUUUUUUAGUUGGGGAAUGGAACUCGCGGGCCUAUCAGGCUUGUUGGUGAGGUAGUGGACUCACCAAGGCGACGACGGGUAGCCGGCCUGAGAAGGGUGACAGGCCACACUGGAACUGAGACACGGCCCAGACUCCUACGGGAGGCAGCAGUGGGGAAUAUUGCACAAUGGGCGAAAGCCUGAUGCAGCGACGCCGCGUGAGGGAUGACGGCCUUCGGGUUGUAAACCUCUUUCAGUAGGGAAGAAGCGAAAGUGACGGUACCUGCAGAAGAAGCGCCGGGCUAACUACGUGCCAGCAGCCGCGGUAAUACGUAGGGCGCAAGCGUUAUCCGGGAAUUAUUGGGCGUAAAGAGCUCGUAGGCGGUUUGUCGCGUCUGCCGUGAAAGUCCGGGGCUUAACCCCGGAUCUGCGGUGGGUACGGGCAGACUAGAGUGAUGUAGGGGAGACUGGAAUUCCUGGUGUAGCGGUGAAAUGCGCAGAUAUCAGGAGGAACACCGAUGGCGAAGGCAGGUCUCUGGGCAUUAACUGACGCUGAGGAGCGAAAGCAUGGGGAGCGAACAGGAUUAGAUACCCUGGUAGUCCAUGCCGUAAACGUUGGGCACUAGGUGUGGGGAACAUUCCACGUUUUCCGCGCCGUAGCUAACGCAUUAAGUGCCCCGCCUGGGGAGUACGGCCGCAAGGCUAAAACUCAAAGGAAUUGACGGGGGCCCGCACAAGCGGCGGAGCAUGCGGAUUAAUUCGAUGCAACGCGAAGAACCUUACCAAGGCUUGACAUGGACUGGAUCGCCGCAGAGAUGUGGUUUCCCUUCGGGGCUGGUUCACAGGUGGUGCAUGGUUGUCGUCAGCUCGUGUCGUGAGAUGUUGGGUUAAGUCCCGCAACGAGCGCAACCCUCGUUCCAUGUUGCCAGCGGGUUAUGCCGGGGACUCAUGGGGAGACUGCCGGGGUCAACUCGGAGGAAGGUGGAGGACGACGUCAAAUCAUCAUGCCCCUUAUGUUCUUGGGCUUCACGCAUGCCUACAAUGGCCGGUACAAAGGGCUUGCAAUACUGUGUGAGGUGGAGCUAAUCCCAAAAAGCCGGGUCUCAGUUCCGGAAUGUGGGGUCUUGCAACUCGACCCCAUGAAGUCGGAGUCGCUAGUAAUCGCAGAUCAGCAACGCUGCGGUGAAUACGUUCCCGGGCCUUGUACACACCGCCCGUCAAGUCAUG